This 310-nucleotide unclassified non-coding RNA is filed under the name plant metagenome. RNAcentral describes it as "partial contains 5.8S ribosomal RNA, internal transcribed spacer 2, and large subunit ribosomal RNA". The stretch from base 1 to 105 matches the Rfam family "5.8S ribosomal RNA", at positions 50 to 154 of the family's 154-position model. The record is from RNAcentral.
GAAAUGCGAUAAGUAGUGUGAAUUGCAGAAUUCAGUGAAUCAUCGAAUCUUUGAACGCACAUUGCGCCCCUUGGUAUUCCAUGGGGCAUGCCUGUUCGAGCGUCAUUUGUACCCUCAAGCUCUGCUUGGUGUUGGGUGUUUGUCCCCGUCUCCGCGCGUGGACUCGCCCCAAAGUGAUUGGCAGCCGGCGUACUGGUCCCGGAGCGCAGCACAUGUCGCGCAAACGAGUGCCUUGGUACGGCGGCGUCCAUAAGCCCCUCUCUCACGCUCUUGACCUCGGAUCAGGUAGAGAUACGCGCUGAACUUAAGC